This 254-nucleotide ribosomal RNA is filed under the name uncultured bacterium. RNAcentral describes it as "partial 16S ribosomal RNA". It matches the Rfam family "Bacterial small subunit ribosomal RNA", at positions 524 to 776 of the family's 1533-position model. The record is from RNAcentral.
UACGUAGGGCGCAAGCGUUGUCCGGAAUUAUUGGGCGUAAAGAGCUCGUAGGUGGUUUGUUACGUCUGCUGUGAAAACCUAGGGCUUAACCCUGGGCCUGCAGUGGAUACGGGGCAGACUAGAGGUAGGUAGGGGAGAAUGGAAUUCCCGGUGUAGCGGUGAAAUGCGCAGAUAUCGGGAGGAACACCGGUGGCGAAGGCGGUUCUCUGGGCCUUACCUGACACUGAGGAGCGAAAGCGUGGGGAGCGAACAGG